UGGGGCCAUAGCUCAGUUGGGAGAGCGCUUGCAUGGCAUGCAAGAAGUCGUGGGUUCGAAUCCCAUUGGCUCCAU
Molecule: transfer RNA, 75 nt
Filed under: subsurface metagenome
Description: tRNA-Ala
Rfam family: tRNA
About the family: Transfer RNA (tRNA) molecules are approximately 80 nucleotides in length. Their secondary structure includes four short double-helical elements and three loops (D, anti-codon, and T loops).
Source: RNAcentral